RNAcentral lists this ribosomal RNA (253 nucleotides) under uncultured bacterium. Its description in RNAcentral is "partial 16S ribosomal RNA". It matches the Rfam family "Bacterial small subunit ribosomal RNA", at positions 524 to 776 of the family's 1533-position model. The record is from RNAcentral.
UACGUAGGGGGCAAGCGUUGUCCGGAUUUAUUGGGCGUAAAGAGCGUGUAGGCGGCCAGGUAGGUCCGUUGUGAAAACUCGAGGCUCAACCUCGAGACGUCGAUGGAAACCAUCUGGCUAGAGUCCGGAAGAGGAGAGUGGAAUUCCUGGUGUAGCGGUGAAAUGCGCAGAUAUCAGGAGGAACACCGGUGGCGAAGGCGGGUCUCUGGGCCAUUACUGACGCUGAGGAGCGAAAGCGUGGGGAGCGAACAGG